AUGGGGCGUGCAGCGACGAAGAUGCAAGCAGGGGAGGUCCCAGCUGCGCCGGCGUGCUGCCACGAAGAUGCAUGCAGGGGAGGUUCCAGGCCGCCGCCGCGUUCGUUCUCCGGCCGGAUCAUGCCGGAUUCUGGCGGGAAUGGUUCAAGGGCGACCGAAUCCAUGCAUGGGGAGGCGAGUGUGGCGGGACUUGCAGGGUAUGGGGAGGCAACCCAGAGAUUUGGAGAAAGAAAAGGAGCUCUAGGAAAAGAGUUUGGGCAUGGGGUUAUUUUCCCUGGACUCACCAAAAUGAUCGUGAUCCAUAAAAUAUAA
RNAcentral lists this ribosomal RNA (312 nucleotides) under Triticum aestivum (bread wheat). RNAcentral's name for it is "partial small subunit ribosomal RNA". Lineage: Eukaryota; Viridiplantae; Streptophyta; Magnoliopsida; Poales; Poaceae. The record is from RNAcentral.